This 350-nucleotide ribosomal RNA is filed under the name uncultured Rikenellaceae bacterium. RNAcentral's name for it is "bacterial SSU rRNA". It matches the Rfam family "Bacterial small subunit ribosomal RNA", at positions 790 to 1143 of the family's 1533-position model. The record is from RNAcentral. Lineage: Bacteria; Pseudomonadati; Bacteroidota; Bacteroidia; Bacteroidales; Rikenellaceae.
GUAGUCCACACUGUAAACGAUGAUAACUCGCUGUCGGCGAUACACAGUCGGUGGCCAAGCGAAAGCGAUAAGUUAUCCACCUGGGGAGUACGACCGCAAGGUUGAAACUCAAAGGAAUUGACGGGGGCCCGCACAAGCGGAGGAACAUGUGGUUUAAUUCGAUGAUACGCGAGGAACCUUACCCGGGCUCGAACGGCAAGUGAACGACACAGAGAUGUGGAGGUCCUUCGGGACACUUGUCGAGGUGCUGCAUGGUUGUCGUCAGCUCGUGCCGUGAGGUGUCGGCUUAAGUGCCAUAACGAGCGCAACCCUUGCCAUUAGUUACCAGCACGUAAAGGUGGGGACUCUAG